RNAcentral lists this ribosomal RNA (650 nucleotides) under uncultured marine eukaryote. RNAcentral's name for it is "SSU rRNA". It matches the Rfam family "Eukaryotic small subunit ribosomal RNA", at positions 616 to 1266 of the family's 1831-position model. The record is from RNAcentral.
CGGUUAAAAAGCUCGUAGUUGGAUCUCGGCAAGUAGAGGGCGGUAUGCUUCGUAGCAUUACUGCCCUAUUACUUGUAGUUUUGCCAGAGGUUCCUGGGUGCUCUUAAUCGAGUGUCUAGGGAUGCUGGCAGGUUUACUUUGAAAAAAUUAGAGUGCUCAAAGCAGGCUAUUACGCUUGAAUAUUCGUGCAUGGAAUAAUAGAAUAGGAAGUUGUUUCUAUUUUGUUGGUUUUCGGAAAUCGACUUAAUGAUUAAUAGGGACAGUCGGGGGCAUUUGUAUUCAAACGACAGAGGUGAAAUUCUUGGACCGUUUGAAGACAAACUACUGCGAAAGCAUUUGCCAAGAAUGUUUUCAUUAAUCAAGAACGAAAGUUAGAGGUUCGAAGGCGAUUAGAUACCGCCCUAGUUCUAACCAUAAACGAUGCCAGCUAGCGAUCUGAGGACGUUUUUUUUUGUAGACUCCUCAGGAAGCUUCCGGGAAACCAAAGCGUGUGGGUUCCGGGGGAAGUAUGGUUGCAAAGCUGAAACUUAAAGGAAUUGACGGAAGGGCACCACCAGGAGUGGAGCCUGCGGCUUAAUUUGACUCAACACGGGAAAUCUCACCAGGCCCGGACACUGGAAGGAUUGACAGAUUGAGAGCUCUUUCUCGAU